UUCUUACAAGUCCAUCUUUCUUUCCGUGAAUCCAUCUAGGAAGCAUGUGCAUUUCUGAAAAUCUAAAGUAAUUUCUUCACUCUCCCUCCACAACGCCAGCGCCACGUUCGCCUCUCUAACCGCUUCGAUCAUCAUCACCGCCCUCAUAUCUCUCUCCACCCUCAAAUCUGGAGGUACAUCAAUAAUUCUUGGAAACUUGAAGAAGCUCACAACAAUGGCCAUCACUCACUCCAAUCUCACAGAGAUAAUUUACUAGCUCACUCAAUUCCACGGCAUGUUGAUGGAAUUGAGACUCCUCGCUCGCCCGAACAAAACUUUAAGCAUGUUAGAGGUACGUAUUUCUCCAACUAUAUAUAUAUAUGUGUGUGUAUAUCUUUUAGUUUCUUCAAUACUUACACUUGUAGUCAGUGACGGAGCCAGGAUUUCAAGUGGGGGGGGCACUCUGCCAAAAAAAAAAAAACAAUACGGAGUAUAUAUAUA
This is a long non-coding RNA of Cornus florida, 480 nucleotides long. RefSeq lists it as uncharacterized. Lineage: Eukaryota; Viridiplantae; Streptophyta; Magnoliopsida; Cornales; Cornaceae. The transcript is spliced from 2 exons. The record is from RefSeq and is a predicted model, not a curated record.